RNAcentral lists this small RNA (33 nucleotides) under Bombyx mori (domestic silkworm). Its description in RNAcentral is "ovarian small RNA-11149". Lineage: Eukaryota; Metazoa; Arthropoda; Insecta; Lepidoptera; Bombycidae. The record is from RNAcentral.
ACAUCCAGGACCACUCCUGUAUGAGGGCCGGCU